GGGAUGGAACAGGGAGAAGGGAGGGAUGGAGAAAGGAGGGAUGGAAUAAGAGAAGAGGGAAGGAUGGAAUAAGAGAAGAGGGAAGGCUGGAGCAGAGGGAGAAGCGAGGGAUGGAAUGGUGGAAUAGGGAGGGAUGGAGAGGAGAAGACGGAGGGAUGGAAUGGGAGGAGGAAGGCAGGGAUGGAACAGGGGGAGAAGGGAGGGAUGGAAUGAGAGAAGAAGGAUGGAGCAGUGGGAGAAGGGAGGGAUAGAACAGGAGGGGAUGGGAGGGAUGGAAUGGCGGAAUAGGGAGGGAUGGAGAAGGAGAAGACGGAGGGGUGGAAUGAGAGGAGGAAGGCAGGGAUGGAGAAGAGGGAGGGAUGGAGAAGGAGAAGACGGAGGGAUGGAAUGGUAGGAAGAAGGGAUGGAAUGGAGGGAGGAAGGCAGGGAUGGAAGAGGAGAAGGAAGAGAGGGAGGGAUGGAAUGAGAGAAGAGGGAAGGAUGGGAACGGUGGAGUAGGGAGGGAUGGAACUGAGAGCAGAGGCAGGGAUGGAGCAGGAGAAGGAAGGGAUGGAGAGGGAGAGAAGGAAGGCAGGGAAGGAACAGGGAGAGGAGGAAGGGAUGGAGUGGGAGAAAGAAGGGAUGGAGUGGGAGAAAGAAGGGAUGGAGAGAGAGAAGGAAGGGAUGGAGCAGACGAGAUGGGAGGGAUGGAACGGUGGAAAAGGAAAGGAUGGAAUAGGAGAAAAGGAGGGGAUGGAACGGUGGAAAAGGGAGGAAUGGAAUGGGAGAAGGAGGGCAGGGAUGUAACGGGAGAAAAGGCAGGGAUGGGGACAAGGAAAGGAGGGACAGUGGCAUGUGCCACCCCCUGCGGCCACCACACGCCCGGGACACCCCGGCGGGUCCCUGGAGCUGCCGGGGGCUCUGGAACGGCUCUGCCGGAGCUGCUGCUCCUCCCCCGGCAACUGGGGCGGCAGCAGGAGGUGACAUCCCCCGUGCCGGGGGAGGCGGGAGGCGAGCGGGGAUGGAUUGGAAAAUUUGAGGGGAAGUUACUCCCUGUGGAGCCAAGGAGCCGCCAGCAGGAGGGUCACCAGACAGGGAUGGCAUCCAGCCCAGCCCUCAUCCCAAUGAUCCAAGUUCCAAUAGCAAAGCCGAGGGCACACAGGAAGGAGGAAAUAAAAACGGGAAGAAAACCAACGGAGCCCCAAAUGGAUUUUAUGCAGAGAUCGACUGGGACAGAUAUAACUCACCUGAGCUGGAUGAGGAGGGAUACAGCAUCAGACCCGAGGAACCAGGAUAUAUCCUUUGGUUUUGGCUUUGCCUCUUGGGUUGGGUUGACAGGAGCUGGGGAUUACUGGCUCUCUUUGUCCCAUUAUUAUUUAUUAAUUAUUAUUUUUAUUAUUAAUUAUUAUCUAUUUCCACCUUUUGAUUGUCAUUUGGAGCUGGCACUCCUCAGAUAAAGCUGAGUUCCCCAGGGAAUAUUAGAGAUAUUUGGAUUGUCUGUGAUUCACUGCUGGGAAACGAGGAGUGGGGGAACAUCCCACGGGAGACCAAAAUGUCCAUGAUGGUCCUGGAGAAAAGAGGGAUCAGGGAGGAAUUCCUGGAUUUUGGCAAGGAAGGGGAAGCCAGGGGGGAUUUGGGGUCUGCUCCCAGGGAAUGGGGACAGGAGAGGGAAUGGCCUCAAGUGCCAGAGGAGGUUUGGGUUGGAUAUUUUAUUUAAAAUCCCUGUGGAUGUGGCACUUUGGGAUACGGGGCAGCGCUGGGGAAUAUUUGACCUGAUUAUCCCAUCGGGCUUUUCCAGCCUGAGCAAUUCCAUGAAAUGCAGCCGUGGAUCCACACCCUGGGCUGGAUUUACUCUGGGAGCAGCAGCUCCACGUUCUUGGGGUGCAGCAGUGACAUCCCCAGCUCGGGAUUUCCUCCCUUUUAUUUGGGGUCAGAGCUCCAGAGGAGGUUU
Molecule: long non-coding RNA, 1930 nt
Organism: Ficedula albicollis (Collared flycatcher)
Lineage: Eukaryota; Metazoa; Chordata; Aves; Passeriformes; Muscicapidae
Source: Ensembl